This 1965-nucleotide unclassified non-coding RNA is filed under the name Amphimedon queenslandica. Its description in RNAcentral is "neural Wiskott-Aldrich syndrome protein-like, transcript variant X2". Lineage: Eukaryota; Metazoa; Porifera; Demospongiae; Haplosclerida; Niphatidae. The record is from RNAcentral.
AGUCUCUGCUGGCAUAGGGAGUUAGUAAAACUGUCUGUACUCUUCUAAGAGUCUUUUUUAGAUCUUGUGGAUGCCUGUGGUGCUUGUAUUCUGUGAUUCUUCACUGCCCAUUUUUAAUUACAUUCUAAAGCCACCCGCCAUUUUUAAUUGACUGGGCAGCCCACCCCCCUUUUAUACCCGUGCUCAUGCUCGGUGCUGUAGCAAUGAUCACGUAAGGUGGAGCAGUGGUUAUAUUCUGCACAUGCUCGUUUAAGCAAUAAGCAUCUAAGGCAUAUGCUACAUGUAUUUACCGUAUAGUGGUUUUUUCAAGGAUAAUGAAUUUUACGGAUUUUUCGAGUAUCAUGAAAUUAAUUUCUUGAAAAUCAAUUUAACAAGGCAAAAGAUUGUAGAAAAGUGGAAAUUUGCAAGAUUUAAUUCUUUGAACCUCCAGAACAAGUCAUUUGUGAAAAUUAUUAUCCUCAAAAUAAAGCCACUACAGUACAUUGCGGCUUCUAAAUUUUUUAAUAAAUGAUCCUUAUAUUUUAUGAAGGGAGGGAGUAACUAAGAAUUGAGAGAUGUUUCAGAUUUACGACUAGAAAUGUUGCCUUCAGUUUGCAAACUCAAUGACCUGUAAAUUAGGGCUGAAACAAAUAGUAUUUUUCACUAUUCACUAUUUGAAUAAUUGGCAUGCUAAACGAACAAAUAUUCGAAUAAUUGAACUAUUAUUGCUGAAUGAUUAUAAACUACUUUUUUGGUAUUAAACUUUUCAAAAUGAUCCCAAACAGGGCUUCUUAGAGAUUAAGAACCACUUUACCUGGCCACAGCAUCAGUAUUUAGCCAGUUGGUAAGUAAACAGGCUAAGAAAGCAGCCUGUGUAGGUGACAUGUGGUGGGCGUGGCCAUUAAUUGUUGGAAUAACCAUUAAUAAUUUUAUUAUUUGAAUAGUUCGAAUAGCAAAAAAAACUAUUCGAAUAUUGCUAUAACGAACGAAUAUUUGAAUAUCUCACUAUUCGUUUCAGCCCUAUUGUAAAUAUUGCAUCCACAUGCUUAGAUAAAUAGACCUUGAUUCUUGUUUUCAUUUUGUGCAGCUAGAGUGUAUUGUAUGUUAUAGAGUUGAUAGUAUAAAGGCUAGCUGCCAUACACUAUGAAAAUUUAUUUCAUGAAGCAACACUGUACAGGAGUCAAUGGAGCCUAAAACAUGCUACAGACUCCAUUGCUUCCUGUGUAAGGAUGUUUCAUGAAAUGGCUUUAAUGAGUGAUUGAGAGGUCCUUAAUUCUUCUCCGACUCGGAAUUAAACAACACAACUGGAAACAUGGAAAUGGUGAUCAUGUCAUUCAGUCGUCCGUAUAUCGUGCGCCAAUUUCCAUAUACCAAGAGAGGACGACGGUGUCUUUGAUGAGAUAAAUUUCUCUGAGAUAUACGGGCCAGCCUCUGAUAAGAUAGUACGUCAGUACAAGGACGAUGCCCUGGGUCUACCCACUCCUUAUAUACCGUCAAAGAGACCACGCUAUGAGUCAAAGGGAAGGAACUAUAGCUCACCUCGUCCUAAGCCAAGUCCUUAUGGGUAUGGAGCCUAUGGGUCUUCAUCUCGUUAUUAUCCACCUCCCAAUCGGGGUUACUAUGCUCCUCCUCCCCCACCUCAUUAUCGUAGUUAUUAUGCUCCUCCUCCUCCUCCUCCUGGUGCUGGUGGGUGGGGCCACAUGAGAGGGCGUUACGGUCACCCCCCACCACCGCCUCCUCCUAACCCUCGCUAUGGGGCACCACGCCCGUACUACAGUAACAGAGGCAGCGGUGGGUAUUAUAAUCGCUAUUGAAAAAACAACUAACUCUUUUUCCUCCCUAUCUUUUCUUUAUUUUGUUAUAAUUGUGCACAUUUUUGAACUUUACAUAUUGUAAUGAUGCAUGCAUAUAUACACCAUCAUACCUUGGCUUUCUUUGUUUUAGAUAAGAUAGUUAAUUCAUUGUGUGUCCAAACGCCAGUAAACC